This 576-nucleotide ribosomal RNA is filed under the name uncultured bacterium. Its description in RNAcentral is "partial 16S ribosomal RNA". It matches the Rfam family "Bacterial small subunit ribosomal RNA", at positions 355 to 923 of the family's 1533-position model. The record is from RNAcentral.
UGGGGAAUUUUGGACAAUGGGCGAAAGCCUGAUCCAGCAAUGCCGCGUGUGUGAAGAAGGCCUUCGGGUUGUAAAGCACUUUUGUCCGGAAAGAAAUCCUUGGCUCUAAUACAGUCGGGGGAUGACGGUACCGGAAGAAUAAGCACCGGCUAACUACGUGCCAGCAGCCGCGGUAAUACGUAGGGUGCAAGCGUUAAUCGGAAUUACUGGGCGUAAAGCGUGCGCAGGCGGUUUGCUAAGACCGAUGUGAAAUCCCCGGGCUCAACCUGGGAACUGCAUUGGUGACUGGCAGGCCAGAGUAUGGCAGAGGGGGGUAGAAUUCCACGUGUAGCAGUGAAAUGCGUAGAGAUGUGGAGGAAUACCGAUGGCGAAGGCAGCCCCCUGGGCCAAUACUGACGCUCAUGCACGAAAGCGUGGGGAGCAAACAGGAUUAGAUACCCUGGUAGUCCACGCCCUAAACGAUGUCAACUAGUUGUUGGGGGAUUCAUUUCCUUAGUAACGUAGCUAACGCGUGAAGUUGACCGCCUGGGGAGUACGGUCGCAAGAUUAAAACUCAAAUGAAUUGACGGGGUCAUA